This 1317-nucleotide ribosomal RNA is filed under the name 'Dendrocalamus strictus' phytoplasma. RNAcentral's name for it is "bacterial SSU rRNA". It matches the Rfam family "Bacterial small subunit ribosomal RNA", at positions 128 to 1444 of the family's 1533-position model. The record is from RNAcentral. Lineage: Bacteria; Bacillati; Mycoplasmatota; Mollicutes; Acholeplasmatales; Acholeplasmataceae.
ACCCUAAAGACGAGGAUAACCAUUGGAAACAGUGGCUAAGACUGGAUAGGAAGAUAAAAGGCAUCUUUUAUCUUUUAAAAGACCUAGUAAUAGGUAUGCUUUAGGAGGGGCUUGCGCCAUAUUAGUUAGUUGGUAGGGUAAUGGCCUACCAAGACGAUGAUGUGUAGCUGGACUGAGAGGUUGAACAGCCACAUUGGGACUGAGACACGGCCCAAACUCCUACGGGAGGCAGCAGUAGGGAAUUUUCGGCAAUGGAGGAAACUCUGACCGAGCAACGCCGCGUGAAUGACGAAGUACUUCGGUAUGUAAAGUUCUUUUAUCAAGGAAGAAAAGCAAAUGGCGAACCAUUUGUUUGCCGGUACUUGAUGAAUAAGCCCCGGCUAAUUAUGUGCCAGCAGCCGCGGUAAGACAUAAGGGGCAAGUGUUAUCCGGAAUUAUUGGGCGUAAAGGGUGCGUAGGCGGUCUAGUAAGUCAGUGGUGUAAUGGCAACGCUUAACGUUGUCCGGCUAUUGAAACUGCUAAACUUGAGUUAGAUAGAGGCGAGUGGAAUUCCAUGUGUAGCGGUAAAAUGCGUAAAUAUAUGGAGGAACACCAGAGGCGUAGGCGGCUCGCUGGGUCUUAACUGACGCUGAGGCACGAAAGCGUGGGGAGCAAACAGGAUUAGAUACCCUGGUAGUCCACGCCGUAAACGAUGAGUACUAAGUGUCGGGUUAAACCGGUACUGAAGUUAACACAUUAAGUACUCCGCCUGAGUAGUACGUACGCAAGUAUGAAACUUAAAGGAAUUGACGGGACUCCGCACAAGCGGUGGAUCAUGUUGUUUAAUUCGAAGAUACCCGAAAAACCUUACCAGGUCUUGACAUGUUUUUGCAAAAUGAUAGUAAUAUCGUGGAGGUUACCAGAAACACAGGUGGUGCAUGGUUGUCGUCAGCUCGUGUCGUGAGAUGUUAGGUUAAGUCCUAAAACGAGCGAAACCCUUAUCGUUAGUUGCCAGCACGUUAUGGUGGGGACUUUAACGAGACUGCCAAUGAUAAAUUGGAGGAAGGUGAGGAUCACGUCAAAUCAGCAUGCCCCUUAUGACCUGGGCUACAAACGUGAUACAAUGGCUGUUACAAAGGGUAGCUGAAACGCAAGUUCUUGGCCAAUCCCCAAAAACAGUCCCAGUCCGGAUUGAAGUCUGCAACUCGACUUCAUGAAGUUGGAAUCGCUAGUAAUCGCGAAUCAGCAUGUCGCGGUGAAUACGUUCUCGGGGUUUGUACACACCGCCCGUCAAACCACGAAAGUUGGCAAUACCCCAAAACGGUAGCCUAACUCGUU